RNAcentral lists this ribosomal RNA (253 nucleotides) under uncultured bacterium. RNAcentral describes it as "partial 16S ribosomal RNA". It matches the Rfam family "Bacterial small subunit ribosomal RNA", at positions 524 to 776 of the family's 1533-position model. The record is from RNAcentral.
UACGAAGGGGGCUAGCGUUGCUCGGAAUCACUGGGCGUAAAGCGCACGUAGGCGGAUUGUUAAGUCAGGGGGGAAAUCCUGGAGCUCAACUCCAGAACUGCCUUUGAUACUGGCGAUCUUGAGUCCGGGAGAGGUGAGUGGAACUGCGAGUGUAGAGGUGAAAUUCGUAGAUAUUCGCAAGAACACCAGUGGCGAAGGCGGCUCACUGGCCCGAUACUGACGCUGAGGUGCGAAAGUGUGGGGAGCAAACAGG